UACGGAGGAUGCGAGCGUUAUCCGGAUUUAUUGGGUUUAAAGGGUGCGCAGGCGGCACGGCAAGCCGGCGGUCAAAUCGCGGGGCUCAACCCCGCCCAGCCGUCGGAACUGCCGGGCUAGAGUGGGCGAGAAGUGCGCGGAAUGCGUGGUGUAGCGGUGAAAUGCAUAGAUAUCACGCAGAACUCCGAUUGCGAAGGCAGCGCACCGACGCCCUACUGACGCUCAGGCACGAAAGCGUGGGUAUCGAACAGG
RNAcentral lists this ribosomal RNA (252 nucleotides) under uncultured bacterium. RNAcentral describes it as "partial 16S ribosomal RNA". It matches the Rfam family "Bacterial small subunit ribosomal RNA", at positions 524 to 776 of the family's 1533-position model. The record is from RNAcentral.